GGAGUUUGGGCCGUGUCUCAGUCCCAAUGUGGCCGUUCACCCUCUCAGGCCGGCUACUGAUCGUUGACUUGGUGGGCCGUUACCUCACCAACUAUCUAAUCAGACGCGGGUCCAUCGUAUGCCACCGGAGUUUUUACCCCUGUCUCAUGCGAGACUGUGGUCUUAUGCGGUAUUAGCAGUCAUUUCUAACUGUUAUCCCCCAGUAUGAGGCAGGUUGCCCACGCGUUACUCACCCGUCCGCCACUAAGAAUAUACAAUCAUCUGCCGAAGCUUCUGAAGCGUAUAUUCUCCGUUCGACUUGCAUGUGUUAAGCCUGUAGCUAGCGUUCAUC
Molecule: ribosomal RNA, 331 nt
Filed under: uncultured Lachnospiraceae bacterium
Lineage: Bacteria; Bacillati; Bacillota; Clostridia; Lachnospirales; Lachnospiraceae
Description: partial 16S ribosomal RNA
Source: RNAcentral